This 940-nucleotide ribosomal RNA is filed under the name Campylobacter jejuni. RNAcentral's name for it is "bacterial SSU rRNA". It matches the Rfam family "Bacterial small subunit ribosomal RNA", at positions 501 to 1439 of the family's 1533-position model. Lineage: Bacteria; Pseudomonadati; Campylobacterota; Epsilonproteobacteria; Campylobacterales; Campylobacteraceae. The record is from RNAcentral.
CUCCGUGCCAGCAGCCGCGGUAAUACGGAGGGUGCAGCGUUACUCGGAAUCACUGGGCGUAAAGGGCGCGUAGGCGGAUUAUCAAGUCUCUUGUGAAAUCUAAUGGCUUAACCAUUAAACUGCUUGGGAAACUGAUAGUCUAGAGUGAGGGAGAGGCAGAUGGAAUUGGUGGUGUAGGGGUAAAAUCCGUAGAUAUCACCAAGAAUACCCAUUGCGAAGGCGAUCUGCUGGAACUCAACUGACGCUAAGGCGCGAAAGCGUGGGGAGCAAACAGGAUUAGAUACCCUGGUAGUCCACGCCCUAAACGAUGUACACUAGUUGUUGGGGUGCUAGUCAUCUCAGUAAUGCAGCUAACGCAUUAAGUGUACCGCCUGGGGAGUACGGUCGCAAGAUUAAAACUCAAAGGAAUAGACGGGGACCCGCACAAGCGGUGGAGCAUGUGGUUUAAUUCGAAGAUACGCGAAGAACCUUACCUGGGCUUGAUAUCCUAAGAACCUUUUAGAGAUAAGAGGGUGCUAGCUUGCUAGAACUUAGAGACAGGUGCUGCACGGCUGUCGUCAGCUCGUGUCGUGAGAUGUUGGGUUAAGUCCCGCAACGAGCGCAACCCACGUAUUUAGUUGCUAACGGUUCGGCCGAGCACUCUAAAUAGACUGCCUUCGUAAGGAGGAGGAAGGUGUGGACGACGUCAAGUCAUCAUGGCCCUUAUGCCCAGGGCGACACACGUGCUACAAUGGCAUAUACAAUGAGACGCAAUACCGCGAGGUGGAGCAAAUCUAUAAAAUAUGUCCCAGUUCGGAUUGUUCUCUGCAACUCGAGAGCAUGAAGCCGGAAUCGCUAGUAAUCGUAGAUCAGCCAUGCUACGGUGAAUACGUUCCCGGGUCUUGUACUCACCGCCCGUCACACCAUGGGAGUUGAUUUCACUCGAAGCCGGAAUACUAAA